UUCCGUCUACCUGCUCCACGCUCCUCCGCCACGGCACGCCACUAAACCCAAAUCCCUAAGCUAAACCCUCGUAAAAUCGAAGGUGGGAGAAGGGGGGAGAGGAACGGGAGGCGGCGGCGGCGAGGUGAUCGAGGAGAGGCCCAUGGAUCGUCAGGGGAACGGGGAUCCGGGGAACGACGAGUCGGCGACGGCGUCCUGGGAGGUGGGCGGGGGCUCCGAGGCCGGGGCGGAGGUGACGGGGGUUACCAGGGGCUCCGAGCCUGAGGCGGAGGGGGUCCGGGGUGGCGUCCUGGCGGGGGUGACCGCGGGCCCGGUGGGUGGAGGCUCCAAGGCCCAGGCGGAGAGGGUCGUGGCGGAGGCGUCUUCCAAGGCGGGCGGGGGCUCCGUGGCCGGGGCGGAGGUUGAGGGGUCCUCUGCUAGCUUCGUGGCGGAGGGGAUGGGGGUACCUCUGGUCCUGACGGCGGCGGAGAUGGCCGCUCAGGGCUUCGACAUCGGCGUCGACAUCGUGCUGGCAACCAUGGAGGAGGAGGAGGAUGUGGAUCCGGACGCCGAAGCAGAGUUCGACGCGAUGAUGCUGGCCACCGACAACCUCCGAUUUGCUCAAAAUUCGCGCCAGGUACCCCCUGCUGAUACCUUCCAGCCUGUAAAUGAAAAUGAGGUAAAUGUGGAUCCGGUCGCCGAGGCAGAGUUCGACGCGAUGAUUCUGGCCGCCAACAACUUCCGAUUUGCUCAACAGAUGCGCCAGGUACCCUCUGCUGAUACCUUCCAGCCUGAAAACGAAAAUGAGGAUGAAAGGGUUCCCACCAAUCAACCCAAUCCUGAGAAUGACACUUUAUAUGGAUCUUCCAUAUCUCAGCAGAUUCAAAAUGAUACUUUACAUGGUUCUUCAAUACCUCAGGGGGGUGAUAGUAAUACAUUACAUGGAUCUUCCAUUCCUCAGGGGGGUGAUAAUGAUCCUGGAUCUGCAACUUGGUUCAAGCUUAAGGUCCCAAGUGCGUUCCAAGGGCUUCUGCAGAAUCGUCAAAUCUUUCAGCUACUGGGAAAUGAAGUUACUGCUAUAAAUAAUCUUGCUCAAGGUGUUGUUGCCGUUGUACCUCAAAGCAGUGUGGAUACAUUUCCGAUAACUCCUGAAUACACCUCAUCUCGAAGGAUACUAAAAGAGCAUGGUCCGUCUAAGUUAAAGUAUGGAACAUUUUGAACACAUUUUUUGUCUCUUGUCAUUUUGCUUGUGGUAUGAAAUUUCCAGUGACCAUCUUGGUUAUCAUAUAGGUCUCCGGCGUUAUCAUAAACAAAUUUUUCAUCAAAGGAAAUUUAUGGAGUAGAAGGCGUUACACAAUUGAUAACACAUGCCAUGUGUUUGAAUGGCCUGCCAGACCAGUGGAAAAUGAGAUACAGGCAGUACCCCCAAGGACUAGAGCAAGGACUACUGAAGAGUUGAUCGCCUCCAACGCAGCUGUGGUUGCAUCGCAUGGCAGAGUGCUCGAGUCUAACGCUGCUGUGGUGGAGUCAAACAACAGGCUGACGGCUGCCAUCUAUCAGCUCAUCUCCCGCCUCGGCGAAUCCAGCACCAAUAGGCCAUGAAGUGGGGCAAGGAAGGUUGGUUAGAUUAGUUAGACAGAGGCGCUGUGCUGCUUGCAAACGUUGGGUCGUAUGGUCGAAUGCCUGCUGAAUUGUUUCUAAUGCCUGCUUGCAGACUUUGGGCCCUAUCGAAUGCCUGCCGAAUUGUUUGUAGUUCAAGUUUUGCCACGAUGAUAGAUAUCCCAGCUGGAUGACAGGAGAUAGGUGGGUUUACUUUUUGCUGGUAUUGCUGAGAAUGGUUCUUCUGUUGGUGGUUCCAUUGAGAAACUAACCAGCUGUGCGAAUUGCAAAAACUACUUGGUUAGAGCAAGUACAAUCUUA
Non-coding RNA from Triticum urartu, 1899 nucleotides. The record is from RefSeq and is a predicted model, not a curated record. NCBI's taxonomy places the organism in Eukaryota, Viridiplantae, Streptophyta, Magnoliopsida, Poales, Poaceae.